GAGGGUAUAGCUCAAGUGGUAGAGCACAUGCUUUAUAUGCACGAGGUCCUAGGUUCAAUUCCCAGUACCUCCA
Molecule: transfer RNA, 73 nt
Filed under: Camelus bactrianus (Bactrian camel)
Lineage: Eukaryota; Metazoa; Chordata; Mammalia; Artiodactyla; Camelidae
Also listed under: 3 other names
Rfam family: tRNA
About the family: Transfer RNA (tRNA) molecules are approximately 80 nucleotides in length. Their secondary structure includes four short double-helical elements and three loops (D, anti-codon, and T loops).
Source: Rfam by way of RNAcentral